GACGAACGCUGGCGGCGUGCUUAACACAUGCAAGUCGAACGGAAAGGCCCUGCUUUUGUGGGGUGCUCGAGUGGCGAACGGGUGAGUAACACGUGAGUAACCUGCCCUUGACUUUGGGAUAACUUCAGGAAACUGGGGCUAACACCGGAUACGACCUCCUGCUGCAUGGUGGGGGUUGGAAAGUUUCGGCGGGUGGGGAUGGACUCGCGGCUUAUCCGCUUGUUGGUGGGGUAGUGGCUUACCAAGGCUUUGACGGGUAGCCGGCCUGGGAGGGUGACCGGCCACAUUGGGACUGAGAAACGGCCAAGACUCCUACGGGGGGCAGCAGUGGGAAAUAUUGCACAAUGGGCGGAAGCCUGAUGCAGCAACGCCGCGUGCGGGAUGACGGCCUUCGGGUUGUAAACCGCUUUCGCCUGUGACGAAGCGUGAGUGACGGUAAUGGGUAAAGAAGCACCGGCUAACUACGUG
Molecule: ribosomal RNA, 468 nt
Filed under: uncultured bacterium
Lineage: Bacteria
Description: partial 16S ribosomal RNA
Rfam family: Bacterial small subunit ribosomal RNA
Source: RNAcentral